Molecule: ribosomal RNA, 450 nt
Filed under: uncultured bacterium
Lineage: Bacteria
Description: partial 16S ribosomal RNA
Rfam family: Bacterial small subunit ribosomal RNA
Source: RNAcentral
GUGGGGAAUAUUGGACAAUGGGCGAAAGCCUGAUCCAGCCAUGCCGCGUGUGUGAAGAAGGUCUUCGGAUUGUAAAGCACUUUAAGUUGGGAGGAAGGGCAGUAAGUUAAUACCUUGCUGUUUUGACGUUACCGACAGAAUAAGCACCGGCUAACUUCGUGCCAGCAGCCGCGGUAAUACGAAGGGUGCAAGCGUUAAUCGGAAUUACUGGGCGUAAAGCGCGCGUAGGUGGUUUUGUAAGUUGGAGGUGAAAUCCCCGGGCUCAACCUGGGAACUGCCUCCAAAACUGCAUGACUAGAGUACGGUAGAGGGUAGUGGAAUUUCCUGUGUAGCGGUGAAAUGCGUAGAUAUAGGAAGGAACACCAGUGGCGAAGGCGACUACCUGGACUGAUACUGACACUGAGGUACGAAAGCGUGGGGAGCAAACAGGAUUAGAUACCCUUGUAGUCC